GAGGCGACUCUAAGGAAAGUGCAACAGAAAACAACCGCCAUAGCAAUUAUGGUAAGGAUGAAAAGGUAGUGUAAGAGACUACCGCAGCUUUGGUGACAAAGCCGGUCAAUGCAAACCCCACUUGGUGCAAGAUAGUGAGAGAAUAAAAGGUUGUCCGCCUCUCUUCAAAAUCGCUUGAGUACAAUGGCAACAUUGUACCUAGAUAGAUAACCAUAAAAUACAGAAUUCGGCUUACAGACCAACCUUUUAC
RNAcentral lists this RNase P RNA (250 nucleotides) under Clostridiales bacterium. RNAcentral's name for it is "partial RNase P RNA component class A". It matches the Rfam family "Bacterial RNase P class A", at positions 91 to 367 of the family's 367-position model. Rfam says of the family: Ribonuclease P (RNase P) is a ubiquitous endoribonuclease, found in archaea, bacteria and eukarya as well as chloroplasts and mitochondria. Its best characterised activity is the generation of mature 5'-ends of tRNAs by cleaving the 5'-leader elements of precursor-tRNAs. Lineage: Bacteria; Bacillati; Bacillota; Clostridia; Eubacteriales. The record is from RNAcentral.